UUGGAGGGCAAGUCUGGUGCCAGCAGCCGCGGUAAUUCCAGCUCCAAUGGCGUAUAUUAAAGUUGUUGCAGUUAAAAAGCUCGUAGUUGAAUUUCGGGGUUCUUCCGUUGGUCAGGCUAACAAGUCUGUACUAGCGUGUAGAAUCUCUACCUUCUGGGGAACCAUCAUGUUAUUAAUUUAGCGUGGUGGGAAACCAGGACCUUUACCUUGAAAAAAUUAGAGUGUUCAAAGCAGGCUUACGUCUGAAUACAUUAGCAUGGAAUAAUAAAAUAGGACGGUGGU
Molecule: ribosomal RNA, 282 nt
Filed under: uncultured Scutellospora
Lineage: Eukaryota; Fungi; Glomeromycota; Glomeromycetes; Diversisporales; Gigasporaceae
Description: partial 18S ribosomal RNA
Rfam family: Eukaryotic small subunit ribosomal RNA
Source: RNAcentral